GUGCACCAGGCGAGAAACUUCGCAAUGCGCGAAAGCGCGACGAGGGGAUUCCAAGUGCAUGCACUAAGUGUAUGCUUUUCGUGAGUUUAAAACGCUCACGGAAUAAGGGCUGGGUAAGACUGGUGCCAGCCGCCGCGGUAAUACCAGCGGCCCUAGUGGUGAUCGUUAUUAUUGGGCCUAAAGCGUCCGUAGCCGGUCCGGUAAAUCUCUGGGUAAAUCGUUGGGCUUAACUCAGCGAAUUCUGGGGAGACUGCUGGACUUGGGACCGGGAGAGGUCGGAGGUACUCCAGGGGUAGGGGUGAAAUCCUGUAAUCCUUGGGGGACCACCGGUGGCGAAGGCGUCCGACCAGAACGGGUCCGACGGUAAGGGACGAAGCCCUGGGGCGCGAACCGGAUUAGAUA
This 402-nucleotide ribosomal RNA is filed under the name uncultured microorganism. RNAcentral's name for it is "bacterial SSU rRNA". It matches the Rfam family "Archaeal small subunit ribosomal RNA", at positions 330 to 735 of the family's 1478-position model. The record is from RNAcentral.